RNAcentral lists this ribosomal RNA (912 nucleotides) under Triticum aestivum (bread wheat). RNAcentral describes it as "partial small subunit ribosomal RNA". The record is from RNAcentral. Lineage: Eukaryota; Viridiplantae; Streptophyta; Magnoliopsida; Poales; Poaceae.
AUGCAGAAUAUUCCAUUCACCAAACGGUCGUUAAAGAGUUUGUGUGGGAGGAUAAGUCGAGAACAACCAGAUGAUGAUGUGCGGGCCAUUGAGGUGUUGCAGAGUUGGGAGCAAGAUCCAUAUUUCGUAUACCAUGUCCACGCAGAUGCGGAGGGUAGGAGAAAGAACUUAAUGUGGGCAAACGAAAACAGGAGACUGCAGUAUAAAAUUUUCGGAGAUGUAGUGACAUGUGAAACAACUUAUCGAACUAAUCUGUACAACAUGCCAUUUGGGCUUUUUGUGGGGGUGAACAACCAUUUCCAGAGCAUUAUCAAUGCUGGUGUGCUGGUAGUGGACGAGACUGAAGAAAGUUUCAUGUGGGCCUUCUCUGAAUUUCUCAGGAUGAUGGUAGGGGUGGCACCAAGGACAGUUCUGAUAGAUCAGAAUAAGGCAAUGGAGCUUGCGCUGAAUAGUAUCAUGCCAAACACAGCGCAUCGAUGGUGUAAAUGGCCUGUGUUGAAGAAAGCAAAGAAGACCCUCGGGCCACUGUACAGCAAGAAGAGUGAUUUCAGUCUGGAAUUCCAUAAAGUUGGGAACAGCAUGCUGACUGUAGAUGAAUUCGAGGAAGGGUGGCGCAUGCUGCUGGAGAAGGACAAACUACAAACACAUCCAUACAUGACUCGGCUCUUUGAGGCUGAGAAGUGGGCGAAGCCAUAUUUCAAAGGUGUGUUUUGUGCUAUGAUGACAAGUACACAGAGAAGCGAGAGUGCAAAUCACAUGUUAAAGAACUAUGUGCCUCCCGGUUGCCCGAUGCAUAUGUUUGUAAAGAAGUACAGGAGGCUGCAGUUUUAUCGUGAGUCGGAUGAGAACUAUGGAGAGAAGAGAACAAGAAUUUUAAGUGAUUCUUAUGAUUUAGACUGUCACUUAAUGUGA